RNAcentral lists this ribosomal RNA (497 nucleotides) under uncultured bacterium. RNAcentral's name for it is "partial 16S ribosomal RNA". It matches the Rfam family "Bacterial small subunit ribosomal RNA", at positions 28 to 507 of the family's 1533-position model. The record is from RNAcentral.
GAUGAACGCUGGCGGCGUGCCUAAUACAUGCAAGUCGAGCGAACAGACGAGGAGCUUGCUCCUCUGACGUUAGCGGCGGACGGGUGAGUAACACGUGGAUAACCUACCUAUAAGACUGGGAUAACUUCGGGAAACCGGAGCUAAUACCGGAUAAUAUAUUGAACCGCAUGGUUCAAUAGUGAAAGACGGUUUUGCUGUCACUUAUAGAUGGAUCCGCGCCGCAUUAGCUAGUUGGUAAGGUAACGGCUUACCAAGGCAACGAUGCGUAGCCGACCUGAGAGGAUGAUCGGCCACACUGGAACUGAGACACGGUCCAGACUCCUACGGGAGGCAGCAGUAGGGAAUCUUCCGCAAUGGGCGAAAGCCUGACGGAGCAACGCCGCGUGAGUGAUGAAGGUCUUCGGAUCGUAAAACUCUGUUAUUAGGGAAGAACAAAUGUGUAAGUAACUAUGCACGUCUUGACGGUACCUAAUCAGAAAGCAACGGCUAACUACGUG